RNAcentral lists this non-coding RNA (65 nucleotides) under Blattella germanica (German cockroach). The record is from RNAcentral. Lineage: Eukaryota; Metazoa; Arthropoda; Insecta; Blattodea; Blattellidae.
UUUGUGACCGCCAUAAUGGGCAUUUCUUACAAUUCACUACAAUGCUCGUUAUCACGUUCGCAAUU